This 468-nucleotide ribosomal RNA is filed under the name uncultured bacterium. RNAcentral describes it as "partial 16S ribosomal RNA". It matches the Rfam family "Bacterial small subunit ribosomal RNA", at positions 28 to 507 of the family's 1533-position model. The record is from RNAcentral.
GACGAACGCUGGCGGCGUGCUUAACACAUGCAAGUCGAACGGAAAGGCCCUGCUUUUUUGGGGGGCCUGGUUGCCGAACGGUUGAGUAACUAUUACGUAACUUGCCUUUGCCUUUGGUAUAACUUCCCGAAACUGGGGCUAUUACCUGCUGGGUGUUCCUGCUCCAUGGUGUGGUUUGUAAAGUUCCGGCGGUUGGGUAUGGACUCGCGGCUUAGCAGUUUGUUGGUGGGGUAUUGGCUUACCAGGGCUUUGACGGGUAGCCGGCCUGAGAGGGUGACCGGCAACAUGGGGACUGAGAUACGGCACAGACUCCUACGGGAGGCAGCAGUGGGGAAGAUUGCACAAUGGGCGGAAGCCUGAUGCAGCAACGCCGCGUGCGGGAUGAAGGCCUUCGGGUUGUAAACCGCUUUCGCCUGUGACGAAGCGGGAGUGACGGUAAUGGGUAAAGAAGCACCGGCUAACUACGUG